UGUCGAUGAAGAGCGCAGCCAACUGUGUGAAUUAAUGUGAAUUGCUAUCUGCUUUGAACAUCGACAUCUUGAACGCAUAUUGCGGCCACGGGUUAGCCUGUGGCCACGCCCGUCCGAGGGUCG
RNAcentral lists this ribosomal RNA (123 nucleotides) under Proctotrema addisoni. Its description in RNAcentral is "partial 5.8S ribosomal RNA". It matches the Rfam family "5.8S ribosomal RNA", at positions 33 to 154 of the family's 154-position model. From Rfam's summary of the family: 5.8S ribosomal RNA (5.8S rRNA) is a component of the large subunit of the eukaryotic ribosome. The record is from RNAcentral. Lineage: Eukaryota; Metazoa; Platyhelminthes; Trematoda; Plagiorchiida; Monorchiidae.